UCCUUGGUGUCUCAGACAGUAAAGAAUUUGCCUGCAAUGCAUGAGACCCAGGUUUGAUCCCUGGAUCAGGAA
RNAcentral lists this transfer RNA (72 nucleotides) under Bos taurus (domestic cattle). It matches the Rfam family "tRNA". From Rfam's summary of the family: Transfer RNA (tRNA) molecules are approximately 80 nucleotides in length. Their secondary structure includes four short double-helical elements and three loops (D, anti-codon, and T loops). The record is from Rfam by way of RNAcentral. Lineage: Eukaryota; Metazoa; Chordata; Mammalia; Artiodactyla; Bovidae. RNAcentral also lists the same sequence under 1 other name.